This 563-nucleotide ribosomal RNA is filed under the name Buttiauxella sp. enrichment culture clone ESN561_EN14. Its description in RNAcentral is "bacterial SSU rRNA". It matches the Rfam family "Bacterial small subunit ribosomal RNA", at positions 75 to 637 of the family's 1533-position model. The record is from RNAcentral. Lineage: Bacteria; Pseudomonadati; Pseudomonadota; Gammaproteobacteria; Enterobacterales; Enterobacteriaceae.
CUUGCUCCUGGGUGACGAGCGGCGGAGGGUGAGUAAUGUCUGGGAAACUGCCUGAUGGAGGGGGAUAACUACUGGAAACGGUAGCUAAUACCGCAUAACGUCUUCGGACCAAAGAGGGGGACCUUCGGGCCUCUUGCCAUCAGAUGUGCCCUGAUGGGAUUAGCUAGUAGGUGAGGUAAUGGCUCACCUAGGCGACGAUCCCUAGCUGGUCUGAGAGGAUGACCAGCCACACUGGAACUGAGACACGGUCCAGACUCCUACGGGAGGCAGCAGUGGGGAAUAUUGCACAAUGGGCGCAAGCCUGAUGCAGCCAUGCCGCGUGUAUGAAGAAGGCCUUCGGGUUGUAAAGUACUUUCAGCGAGGAGGAAGGCRUUGUGGUUAAUAACCGCAGUGAUUGACGUUACUCGCAGAAGAAGCACCGGCUAACUCCGUGCCAGCAGCCGCGGUAAUACGGAGGGUGCAAGCGUUAAUCGGAAUUACUGGGCGUAAAGCGCACGCAGGCGGUCUGUCAAGUCGGAUGUGAAAUCCCCGGGCUCAACCUGGGAACUGCAUUCGAAACUGGC